Molecule: transfer RNA, 69 nt
Filed under: Herpele squalostoma
Lineage: Eukaryota; Metazoa; Chordata; Amphibia; Gymnophiona; Herpelidae
Description: tRNA-Arg
Source: RNAcentral
AGGAAGUUAGUCUAAAAUAAGACCUCUAAUUUCGACUUAGCUAAUUGCGCCUCACCCCGCAACUUCCUU